Molecule: long non-coding RNA, 1826 nt
Filed under: Sus scrofa (pig)
Lineage: Eukaryota; Metazoa; Chordata; Mammalia; Artiodactyla; Suidae
Description: lncRNA (ENSSSCG00040044814.1)
Source: RNAcentral
UCUAACUGGAGCUAGAGCUGCAGGCCUAUGCCACAGCCACAGUAACAGCAGAUCUGAGCUGUGUUUGUGAUCUACACCACAGCUCACAGCAAUGCCUGGUCCUUAACCCACUGAGCAAGGUCAGGAAUCAAACCCACAUCCUCAUGGAUACUAGUCAGAUUCGUUUCCACUGUGCCACUAUGGGAACUCACCAUUUCCUCUUUCUAACCUUCAUUUAGAUUGACUUUUUUAUUAUUUACUUUUUUUUCCUUUAUUGGUUUAGAAGUUAUAUAUUCUUUUAUUUCUUUUACUAAUGCUUUCCCUGGAGGUACCACAUAAAACCAUAACUGACCAAAUUAUAUAUAUACAUUUUUUCUUUUUAAAAUAAUUUUUAUUUUUUCCAUUAUAGUUGGUUUACAGUGUUCUGUCAAUUUUUUACUACACAGCAAAGUGACCCAUCACACAUACAUAUAUACAUUCUUUUUCUCACAUUAUCCUCCAUCAUGCUCCAUCACAACUGACAAGGUAUAGUUCCCUGUGCUCUACCACAGGAUCUAAUUGAUUAUCUAGUCCAAAUGCAAUAGUUUGCAUCUAUUAACCCCAGAUUCCCAGUCCACCCCACUCCCUCCCCCUCCCCCUUGGCAACCACAAGUCUGUUUUCCAAGUCCAUGAGUUUCUUUUCUGUGGAAAGGUUUAUUUGUUCUGUAUAUUAGAUUCCAGAUAUAAGUGAUAUCAUGUGGUACUUGUCUUUCUCUUUCUGACUUAUUUCACUCAUAUGAGAGUCUCUAGUUCCAUCCAUGUUGCUGCAAAUGGCAUUAUUUUGUUCUUUUUUAUGGCUGAGUAGUAUUCCAUUGUGUAUAUAUACCACAUCUUCCGAAUCCAAUCAUCUGUUGAUGGACAUUUGGGUUGUUUCCAUGUCUUGGCUAUUGUGAAUGGUGCUGCAGUGAACAUUCGGGUGCAUGUGUCUUUUUUAAGGAAAGUUUUGUCUGGAUAUAUUCCCAAAUUUUAUAUUAAUUUAUGCCUUUAUUCUCUUUGCCAACAAUGCAAGAUCUAUAGCACCCUUUAAAUCCAUUUAUCUUUCUAUUUACUUAGAUGCUAUUGUGAUGUGUUUUAAUUAUCUAUUUUAAAGCUCAUAAGUGAUUAUUUUUAAAAGUCACUAUUUUUGGGGUUUUCCAUAUACUUACCAUUUUUGUUGUUCUUUUUUUCUUCCUAAAUUCUCUGGGCUUCUGUGUAGGAAUAUUUCCAUUCUGCCAAAAGACUAUCCUUUAGUAUUUUCUUUAAUUUGGGCCUCCUGGUGAUAUGCUACCUCAGGUUUUUUGUUUUUUGUUUUUGGUAUUGAUGUGCUUUUAUUUUAGCUUCAUUCUUGAAAAAUAUCUUUGCUGUGAGUAGAUGCCACUUUUUUUUUUUUUUUUCAGUUCUUUGUGGAUACCAUUACAGUAUUCUGGCAUUCAUUGUUUUGUUGUGAAGUUGGUUUUACACUUUGCUUCUUUAAGGUGACUUGGCUGCAUUUAAGAUAGUAACAAUGGUAAAAUUGCCAGUUUACAAUUUGCAAUAAUAAAUAUAACAUUAAGCCUGUCCAUUGGUUUAGAUGAUUUUUUCCAGAAAUAUUUAGUUCUCUGGGUACAGAUGCAGAGAAGGCAGGAAGCAGGGCUCAUCCAGCAAUGGUUGUUGCCAGCUACAAAGAGCAGAAGUAAGAGAGCAGGGACUUAAGGGUAUUUACAUGGGUGUAAAUAGAAUGAUGAAUCUUGGAAUCUAGUUUGUACAAGAAGGUAAAUGAACUUGGAGGAAAAUGAUAGGCAGGGAGAAAUGGUUGCCUUAUUUGAUUUUAUAUCUAAGGAUUUUAAUAG